GACUCAGUUACUGAGCCAUUCCCUGGGAAUAACAUCUUGACUAAACAUAAUCUUUAUCUUCAAGGACCUCUCAUUAUUCAGUGGAGUAAAGACACGGGGAAAUGGGGAAUUUUCAUGCAGUCGUUAGAGUUUCUUCUAGAUAAAAUUGGCACUGAGUUUAUACUCAAAUGAGAAGGCUGAAAGGAGUGAGGAAGUGUCAUAGCAACCUAGCAAAUGCUGAUUCUAGAAAAAGCCAACUUAAAAAAAGCACAAAAGCUUUGCAUUAUUUUUACUUGCCCUUGCCUCCCACCUACCCCGACUCAAUGACAGUUUUGAAGCCAGCAGACUGCAUUCUCAAUAAAAGACCCUGGUU
RNAcentral lists this long non-coding RNA (352 nucleotides) under Homo sapiens (human). RNAcentral describes it as "HSALNT0339244". Lineage: Eukaryota; Metazoa; Chordata; Mammalia; Primates; Hominidae. The record is from RNAcentral.